AUGCAAGUCGAACGCUGAAGCCCCAGCUUGCUNGGGUGGAUGAGUGCGUACGAGUGAGUAACACGUGAGUAACCAUCCCUUUGACUCUGGGAUAAGCCUGGGAAACCGGGUUUAAUACCGGAUCAGACCGGUCACGGCAUGGUGGCCGGUGGAAAGAUUUAUCUGUCUUGGAUGGACUCGCGGCCUAUCAGCUGGUUGGUGGGGUAAUGGCCCACCAAUGCGACGACGUGUUGCCGGCCUGAGAGGGUGACCGGCCACACUGAGUCUGAGACACGGCCCCGACUCGUACGGGAGGCCGCAGUGGGGAAUCUUGCUCAAUGGGUGCAAGCCUGAUGCAGAGACCCCGCGUGAGGGAUGACGGCCUUCGGGUUGUAAACCUCUUUCAGUAGGGAAGAAGCGAAAGUGACGGUACCUGCAGAAGAAGCGCCGGCUAAAUAUGUGCCAGCAGCCGCGGUAAUACGUAGGGCGCGAGCGUUAUCUGGAAUUAUUGGGCGUAAAGAGCUCGUAGGCGGUUUGUCGCGUUUGCCGUGAAAGUCCGGGGCUUAACCCCGGAUAUGCGGUGGGUACGGGCAGACUGGAGUGCAGUAGGGGAGACUGGAAUUCCUGGUGUAGCGGUGAAAUGCGCAGAUAUCAGGAGGAACACCGAUGGCGAAGGCAGGUCUCUGGGCUGUUACUGACGCUGAGGAGCGAAAGCAUGGGGAGCGAACAGGAUUAGAUACCCUGGUAGUCCAUGCCGUAAACGUUGGGCACUAGGUGUGGGGGCCAUUCCACGGUUUCCGCGCCGCAGCUAACGCAUUAAGUGCCCCGCCUGGGGAGUACGGCCGCAAGGCUAAAACUCAAAGGAAUUGACGGGGGCCCGCACAAGCGGCGGAGCAUGCGGAUUAAUUCGAUGCAACGCGAAGAACCUUA
Molecule: ribosomal RNA, 909 nt
Filed under: Citricoccus zhacaiensis
Lineage: Bacteria; Bacillati; Actinomycetota; Actinomycetes; Micrococcales; Micrococcaceae
Description: bacterial SSU rRNA
Rfam family: Bacterial small subunit ribosomal RNA
Source: RNAcentral